RNAcentral lists this small RNA (875 nucleotides) under Pongo abelii (Sumatran orangutan). RNAcentral's name for it is "processed transcript". The record is from RNAcentral. Lineage: Eukaryota; Metazoa; Chordata; Mammalia; Primates; Hominidae.
CGGAUGAGGCAAUGCUCCUGGUACACAGCAGGCCCCCGCGCCGACAGACCUGCUGGAGCCCAGGGAUGCCAGGCCCGAAGCUGAGGCGGCUGAUGACUUCCCACCCAGGCCUGAGGUAGAUCUGGCCUCGGAAGUGGCCUUAGAGGUGGUGUCGACAGCAGAGCCUGGCGUGUGGUUGGAGGCUGAGGCCCCGGUGGCCCUGGUGGCUCAGCCUCAGCCCCUGCCUGCCACAGCUGGUGUGAAGAGGGAGAGCGUGGGCAUGGAGGUGGCGGUGCUGACCGACGACCCGCUGCCUGUUGUGGACCAGCAGCAGGUGCUGGCCCGUCUGCAGCUGUUGGAGCAGCAGGUUGUGGGUGGAGAGCAGGCCAAGAACAAGGACCUGAAGGAGAAGCACAAGCGGCGCAAGCGCUACGCAGACGAGCGCAGGAAGCAGCUGGUGGCUGCCCUGCAGAACUCGGAUGAGGACAGUGGGGACUGGGUGCUGCUCAAUGUCUACGACUCCAUCCAGGAGGAAGUGCGGGCCAAGAGCAAGCUGCUGGAGAAGAUGCAGAGGAAGCUUCGGGCAGCAGAGGUGGAGAUCAAAGAUCUGCAGUCCGAGUUUCAGCUGGAGAAGAUUGAUUACUUGGCCACCAUCCGCCGGCAGGAGCGUGACUCCAUGCUCUUGCAGCAGCUCCUGGAGCAGGUGCAGCCCCUGAUUCGCAGGGACUGUAACUACAGCAACCUGGAGAAGAUUCGGCGUGAGUCCUGCUGGGACGAAGAUAACGGCUUCUGGAAGAUCCCACAUCCCGUCAUCACAAAAACCAGCCUCCCAGUAGUUUCAACCGGGCCACAGAACAAACCAGCCUGCAAAACCUCUGCAGCAGACAACGGCGAGC